CUAGCGACUUCAGAGUUUGAUCCUGGCUCAGGAUGAACGCUGGCGGCGUGCUUAACACAUGCAAGUCGAACGGAAGUUUUAAAUGGAAGUUUUCGGAUGGAAAUUUAAAACUUUAGUGGCGGACGGGUGAGUAACGCGUGGGUAACCUGCCGUAUACAGGGGGAGUAACACUUAGAAAUAGGUGCUAAUACCGCAUAAGCGCACAGUAUCGCAUGAUACAGUGUGAAAAGCCUUGACGGUAUACGAUGGACCCGCGUCUGAUUAGCUAGUUGGUGAGGUAGAGGCUCACCAAGGCGACGAUCAGUAGCCGGCCUGAGAGGGUGACCGGCCACAUUGGGACUGAGACACGGCCCAA
This 355-nucleotide ribosomal RNA is filed under the name uncultured bacterium. RNAcentral's name for it is "bacterial SSU rRNA". It matches the Rfam family "Bacterial small subunit ribosomal RNA", at positions 1 to 334 of the family's 1533-position model. The record is from RNAcentral.